GGGCCCGCACAAGCGGUGGAGCAUGUGGUUUAAUUCGAUGAUACGCGAGGAACCUUACCAGGGCUUAAAUGUAAGUUGCAUUAGUUAGAGAUAGCUAUUUCUUCGGACCACUUACAAGGUGCUGCAUGGUUGUCGUCAGCUCGUGCCGUGAGGUGUCAGGUUAAGUCCUAUAACGAGCGCAACCCCUGUUGUUAGUUGCCAGCGAGUCAUGUCGGGAACUCUAACAAGACUGCCGGUGCAAACCGUGAGGAAGGUGGGGAUGACGUCAAAUCAUCACGGCCCUUACGUCCUGGGCUACACACGUGCUACAAUGGUCGGUACAGAGAGCAGCCACUACGCGAGUAGGAGCGAAUCUAUAAAACCGGUCUCAGUUCGGAUUGGGGUCUGCAACUCGACCCCAUG
Molecule: ribosomal RNA, 402 nt
Filed under: uncultured bacterium
Lineage: Bacteria
Description: bacterial SSU rRNA
Rfam family: Bacterial small subunit ribosomal RNA
Source: RNAcentral